This 1083-nucleotide ribosomal RNA is filed under the name Triticum aestivum (bread wheat). RNAcentral describes it as "partial small subunit ribosomal RNA". Lineage: Eukaryota; Viridiplantae; Streptophyta; Magnoliopsida; Poales; Poaceae. The record is from RNAcentral.
AUGAGCCGUGCUCGUUCCUUCCUCUACAUGGUGGUCAACCACUACAGAUGGCCCAAACCCCGAUCCAAGCUGGGAUUCUAUGGCGAACUCGAAGAGCAGAAGGCCUGCGUGUACUCGGUGCGCCGCAUCGACCCGUCGACCCUCUUCCACCGCGAGGAUCAACCGCAGGCGGCGCCGGCGACGGAGAAGACUCGUCUGCCUCCCCCCAUCACGACCUUCGGCCAUCCCGUAAUUGGCUUCAAUGGGCGGACGAUGGAGUUCAUGCUCUUCGGCCGCGCCAGGGACAAGAUCCUCGCCGCACCACGCUUGAAGUCUCCGGAACAUAAACCCGUACUCUACGACCUCGCCUCGCGGACCUCGUGCAGCCUGCCCGGCAUGAGUGUGCCCAAGUGCGGAUCCCUGUGGCUCGCCGUCGGCGACGAUUUAUAUGUCAUGGAGGAUGCUCCGUUGUGGUGGGAGCGGGAAGACGAUGCGUCAUCCAAGAACCCCAUGGAGGCGCUCGUCCAGGCGGGAAAAAAUCCCAUGGACCGGGCAUGGCAUCUCCUCCCCGCGCCUCCUUACGUGCCACCGCCGCCGCACGGCUAUCCCUGCGACAUAGUCAGCACCGCCGCGGUGGUCGGCGACUCCCACAUCUGGGUCUCCUCCAAGGGCCAGGGCACCUUCUUCCUGGAUACAGAGACCCGCGCAUGGAGCAAGGCCGCCGACUGGGACCUGCCGUUCCAGGGACAGGUGCAGCAUGCCCCGGAGCACGGCCUCUGGUACGGAUUCUCGGCCAGAGACAAGGGCGUUCUCUGUGCGGCGGACCUCAGCAGCCUCGUCUCCACGGGCGAGCAGCCGGUGCCGCGCCCUGGUAGCCAUGAGCUGGACAUGGGCAUCGUGGCACCCGAGGGGCGCACGGAGCGACAGGAUUGCUCGUGCCUCGUGCACCUAGAUGGUGGCCGCUUCUGUGUCGCCAACUACUACUCCAAAGUGGUCAUGCUCACCGGCAUGGAGGUCGAGCGUCGCGGCGAGGUUCUCCACUUGAUCAAGCACAAGUCGUGCAUUUACCCCCUACGCGGAAACUGCUUUGAAUGCCUGCUCUAG